UACGUAGGGGGCAAGCGUUGUCCAGAAUCAUUGGGCGUAAAGAGCGUGUAGGCGGCUCGAUAAGUCUGCUGUGAAAGUCCAGGGCUCAACCCUGGAAGGCCGGUGGAAACUGUCGGGCUAGAGUCCGGAAGAGGCGAGUGGAAUUCCCGGUGUAGCGGUGAAAUGCGCAGAUAUCGGGAGGAACACCAAUGGCGAAGGCAGCUCGCUGGGACGGUACUGACGCUGAGGCGCGAAAGCGUGGGGAGCGAACAGG
Molecule: ribosomal RNA, 253 nt
Filed under: uncultured bacterium
Lineage: Bacteria
Description: partial 16S ribosomal RNA
Rfam family: Bacterial small subunit ribosomal RNA
Source: RNAcentral